ACCCUCUGAAGGGAAAGUUGCAAAGAAACUUUGAAGAGAGAGUUCAAGAGUACGUGAAACCGCUCGGAGGCAAACGGGUGGGCCCUCGAAGGUCGAACGGGGGGGAUUCAACCCGUCCGCAGGCAUGGUUGCGCGUCACGGAUGGUGAGGCAUCGGGGGUUUUCUCCCCGUGUCUUGCCUUACGGAUCCGAACGUCGGACCGGUCCGUGACACCAAAGUUAUAUCUUUGCGGCGACCGCGGGCGGGCGCACUUCCCCCCUCAGUAGGACGCCGCGACCGGUCGGGUAUCGAAAGAUAAAGCGGCUUUGCAGCGGGACUACGGCAGGUAUCCGUCGCCGGUCACCUUUCUCUCGUCCUUUGUGGCGGGUGAAAAGCCGGUCGGAAUUACAGCUGGUCUCCGCUUCGGUUGCUGCCCGACCGAGGAACUGCGUGCCCGCGCUGUCAUGUGACUUCGGUUGCGUGAGACGCGCGGUUCGCCCACCUGGCAGGCUGGGCCACCGGGUACCGGACGCCCCUAGUUUGGCGGUCGGCUAUCUCGCUGUGGCUCGCUGGUGGUCGGGCGUAGCUGCUCUCGUGGUGGCGCUCGUGGUCAGCGGCGAGUAGGUCGGUCGCCCACCCGACCCGUCUUGAAACACGGACCAAGGAGUCUAACAUGUGCGCGAGUCGCAGGGUUGACUCGCAAGUUGUAACCCGAAGGCGAAAUGAAAGUGAAAGUCGGUGCGUCUGGCCGACUGAUGCGGGAUCUGUCCGGGUAUCGCUGCAGCUCUCGAGGGGGUCUGCGGGAGCCCGGUGGCGCACCACCGGCCCGUUCUCAGUACUAUCGU
Molecule: ribosomal RNA, 824 nt
Filed under: Scolopendra hainanum
Lineage: Eukaryota; Metazoa; Arthropoda; Chilopoda; Scolopendromorpha; Scolopendridae
Description: partial large subunit ribosomal RNA
Rfam family: Eukaryotic large subunit ribosomal RNA
Source: RNAcentral